GCCCUCAUCUUCAUGCCUUCUUUGGCGACUUGGUGGCCUUGGAUGGCGAUUUGGGCUCCUUGUCACUCCCGGUCUUCUUGGGCAGCAGCACAGAGUUGAUGUUCGGCAGCACACCACCGUGAGCGAUGGUGACGCCGCCCAACAAUUUCCCCAACUCGGCGUCGUUCCUCACAGCCAGCAGCAGGUGCCUCGGAAUUAUCCGGUUCUUCUUGUUGUCCUUCGCAGCGU
RNAcentral lists this unclassified non-coding RNA (228 nucleotides) under Hevea brasiliensis (rubber tree). The record is from RNAcentral. Lineage: Eukaryota; Viridiplantae; Streptophyta; Magnoliopsida; Malpighiales; Euphorbiaceae.